Long non-coding RNA from Lolium rigidum, 983 nucleotides. RefSeq lists it as uncharacterized. The record is from RefSeq and is a predicted model, not a curated record. The transcript has 4 exons. NCBI's taxonomy places the organism in Eukaryota, Viridiplantae, Streptophyta, Magnoliopsida, Poales, Poaceae.
UGUGUUGUAUUGUUCAUCUGAUUGUUGUGUUUCGACCAUGGCAUAGAGCAUCACUUCCGAACUAUUAGACGUGAUGCUUGAGAGAAGAGGCUUGAUCAUUAUCUUAAUUUAGGACUAGCAAAUCUGGAGAUAAUUAAUUUUGUGUGUGUUUUAGCUGACCCUAUUUGACAUCAAGAACAUCUGCACGAGAUGGAAGUUCACUGCCAUCAUCAACACAAGAGGCUGGAUAUAACUGUCUGUGCAGUGUGCCGUUGAGUUCUUCAAGUUGUCCGCCUUAUUGAGAAUUGCAAAACGCGUGUCAACAAGACUUCUACUGGGAAGGGUUUAGCCAGUAAACUGGAGUGUCUGUUAACGAUUUCAAAUGUCCUGAGCCAAUGAGUGUUCUUCAGGAGCCGGAAUCAACUGAUAUUUACAGCCAGCGCAAUAUUGGAUGAAGUCAGGACCCUUACUUUUGGCUAUGUACACAAAUUGAAGAUGAGGCUCUGAGCAAGUCCCAUUUCAGCUCAAUCCGAAGCUCGCAGUGUUGCCUCGACCACCGCCCAUGCAGUAGUCCCAAGGAGAGUGUCACGGAUAAACCAUGGAAGCUGCGAGCAGUGCACGGGACAACAGUCAGACGCUUUGGCUUCAAGGUUGGCGCCGUCGUCAAGGAGGCUCAAGCAGGCUCUGUUCUCGGUGGCCCUGACGCAUGUGCUCCGGCUCACAUAUGGUUUUGAGGCUGCAAUUUGGUUAACAGGUCGUGUAUCCAUUUGAAAUCAUUCAGUGACAGAGCAUGUUGUUGGGUUUAAGCAUGUUUUGGAUGUCAGCAUUGAGAGAAUAUACCAAAAUUCCUUUUCUAACUUCAAAAUUAUAAAGUAUACUUGAUUACACAAGAUGGCACCUUAUAGAAAACUGAGCAUUGACCAAGUAUUUUGGUUGUGCCAUAUAUUGUUAUACUAUACCUGUUGUUCCCUUCCUGAAAAUAAGAUGGGACAAGUGAGCAUUCA